GACGAACGCUGGCGGCGUGCCUAAUACAUGCAAGUCGAACGAACCGCGACUAAGUGCUUGCACUAAGUCAAGGUGAGUGGCGAACGGGUGAGUAACACGUGGGUAACCUACCUCAUAGUGGGGGAUAACAGUCGGAAACGACUGCUAAUACCGCAUAGGACAUAGGAUCACAUGAUCCAGUGAGGAAAGGUGGCGCAAGCUAUCGCUAAGAGAUGGACCCGCGGUGCAUUAGCUAGUUGGUAGGGUAAAGGCCUACCAAGGCGAUGAUGCAUAGCCGACCUGAGAGGGUGAUCGGCCACAUUGGGACUGAGACACGGCCCAAACGCCUACGGGAGGCAGCAGUAGGGAAUCUUCCGCAAUGGACGCAAGUCUUACGGAGCAACGCCGCGUGAGUGAAGAAGGUCUUCGGAUCGUAAAGCUCUGUUGUUAGAGAAGAACAGCGCAUAGAGUAACUGCUAUGCGUGUGACGGUAUCUAACCAGAAAGCCACGGCUAACUACGUG
This 502-nucleotide ribosomal RNA is filed under the name uncultured bacterium. RNAcentral describes it as "partial 16S ribosomal RNA". It matches the Rfam family "Bacterial small subunit ribosomal RNA", at positions 28 to 507 of the family's 1533-position model. The record is from RNAcentral.